GCUUGGGUAGUAUAAGUUAAUACGGCGGGUUUUCGUCUCGCAAAUGAAUGUUGAUUUCUCUAAGUU
Molecule: transfer RNA, 66 nt
Filed under: Pinctada albina
Lineage: Eukaryota; Metazoa; Mollusca; Bivalvia; Pterioida; Pteriidae
Description: tRNA-Glu
Source: RNAcentral